RNAcentral lists this ribosomal RNA (192 nucleotides) under uncultured bacterium. Its description in RNAcentral is "partial 16S ribosomal RNA". It matches the Rfam family "Bacterial small subunit ribosomal RNA", at positions 1307 to 1500 of the family's 1533-position model. The record is from RNAcentral.
GAAAUUCGCCUUCAUGAAGUCGGAAUUGCUAGUAAUGGCAGGUCAGCAUACUGCCGUGAAUACGUUCCCGGGCCUUGUACACACCGCCCGUCACACCAUGAGAGUUGGGAAUACCCGAAGCCUGUGAGCCAACAAACGAGGCAGCAGUCGAAGGUAGAAUCAAUGAUUGGGGUGAAGUCGUAACAAGGUAUC